This 404-nucleotide ribosomal RNA is filed under the name uncultured Rhizobiaceae bacterium. RNAcentral describes it as "bacterial SSU rRNA". It matches the Rfam family "Bacterial small subunit ribosomal RNA", at positions 355 to 776 of the family's 1533-position model. The record is from RNAcentral. Lineage: Bacteria; Pseudomonadati; Pseudomonadota; Alphaproteobacteria; Hyphomicrobiales; Rhizobiaceae.
UGGGGAAUAUUGGACAAUGGGCGCAAGCCUGAUCCAGCCAUGCCGCGUGAGUGAUGAAGGCCCUAGGGUUGUAAAGCUCUUUCACCGAUGAAGAUAAUGACGGUAGUCGGAGAAGAAGCCCCGGCUAACUUCGUGCCAGCAGCCGCGGUAAUACGAAGGGGGCUAGCGUUGUUCGGAAUUACUGGGCGUAAAGCGCACGUAGGCGGAUUGUUAAGUGAGGGGUGAAAUCCCAGGGCUCAACCCUGGAACUGCCUCUCAUACUGGCAAUCUCGAGUUCGAGAGAGGUGAGUGGAAUUCCGAGUGUAGAGGUGAAAUUCGUAGAUAUUCGGAGGAACACCAGUGGCGAAGGCGGCUCACUGGCUCGAUACUGACGCUGAGGUGCGAAAGCGUGGGGAGCAAACAGG